GACGAACGCUGGCGGCGUGCUUAACACAUGCAAGUCGAGCGGUAAGGCCCUUUCGGGGGUACACGAGCGGCGAACGGGUGAGUAACACGUGGGUGACCUGCCCUUAGCUCUGGGAUAAGCCUGGGAAACUGGGUCUAAUACCGGAUAUGACCUCAUGACUCAUGUUGUGGGGUGGAAAGCCUUGUGCGGCUAGGGAUGGGCCCGCGGUCUAUCAGCUUGUUGGUGGGGUAAUUGCCACCAAGGCGACGACGGGUAGCCGGCCUGAGAGGGCGACCGGCCACACUGGGACUGAGACACGGCCCAGACUCCUACGGGAGGCAGCAGUGGGGAAUCUUGCGCAAUGGGCGAAAGCCUGACGCAGCGACGCCGCGUGAGGGAUG
This 380-nucleotide ribosomal RNA is filed under the name uncultured bacterium. Its description in RNAcentral is "bacterial SSU rRNA". It matches the Rfam family "Bacterial small subunit ribosomal RNA", at positions 28 to 410 of the family's 1533-position model. The record is from RNAcentral.